Molecule: long non-coding RNA, 5140 nt
Filed under: Homo sapiens (human)
Lineage: Eukaryota; Metazoa; Chordata; Mammalia; Primates; Hominidae
Description: HSALNT0338599
Source: RNAcentral
GGAGACGGAAAGCAGUGAACCUCUGUAAAAGCUUAGAGUCUCCUAAGCAAGGGCAGGGCACACACCGGGACAGAACAGCAAAUCGAUGACUUUAGUCGCUAAACUAAAGCUUCAUUCUCCUUAAGAAUGACUCUCCUCCAUCGCCACCCCUCACCCCACUUGAGGACUUAUCUGGAAUUUCAAAUGUUUGUUCCUGCAAAUGCAUCUUCCAUCCUGGGUGACAGGAAGUGUCUGGUUCCAUGACGAUGAAGCAGCCACAAGGCCUCUCUGUGUCAGUGCUGGAGAGAGAGAGCUUCCUUCCUCCUGUCCUGGACCCCUCCUGGAGGGACGCUCCCAAGGCUGAGAUGACACAGUCAUUUCCCGCAUGCUGUCUAGCACUGACCCACCCAUCGCCCUUGUCCUGGUGCUGGUCUGCAGCAGCAGUGAGGGGGACCCCUUUGUGUGAGGGCUGCACUGGCCAUCGUUCAGGAAAAGGCAAUAGAGCCUCUGCAGUCUUUGAACGCCCUCGGUGCCUCCAGCGCAUUGGCCUUAGGACAACACUCCUUACGGGGGGUCUCUGAAGUCUGCCCGGAAGACACUCUUCCAGCCCACCGGGUCCUGCAGCCAAAGUGCAUGGUGUCCCCUGGCCCUGGAACAAGUCUCUGUGUGACCCUGAGGGUCCCUGUAGAAACAGCCACAUGGCCCCUCCUUCAUGGAGCCCAGCGUUCCUUGUUGAUUUUCGGCUUUCUUACCUGGCCUCCGCUGUCCAUCCUUGAGGUGGGCUGGUGCUCUAGGGACUUCCUGCAAUGACGGGUUUGUGUUGGGUACAGAAAGAAGCUAUUGUAGAACCGUCCGACGAUGGAGCCUUCAGGGACGCGGUGGCCCCGGAGCACAUGGUGACAUGCUGGAGAAGCUGGGCAGUGCCCAGGAGUUGGCACGUGGGGACUCGGUUCGCUGAGUUCGCUGAAAGCAAAUCCGUGUUUUGCAUGAGCGGCCUGUGUGUCUGCUGGCUCUAAACCUGCCUUGUUUUGUCCAGCUGUGGCUGGGAUCUGUGACUCCUUGGAAGGCAUUUCACCUCACUCAGAGUCACAAAAUUCAAGCAAUGACAAGAACAGUGCCUGGAGUAGAAUACCAUUUAAAUUUUAUUUAUAUUCAUUUAUUCACUGUCAAAUAUCCUUUUUAUUUAACCAAAUUUCAAACUGUUAGAAACAGUGGAGGUUAUGGAACCCAGAGUCAGGCAGAUCCUCAGAGUUUGUCUUUAUUUGCAGCUGUGAGCACAGAACUCACGUAUGUUCAUCUCAGAAAGAUCACAGAAGCACAGGUGCUUAGAAGAGCUGACACCAAGCAUGUGGAAGGAAUUUAACUUCUUCAUGUAUUGGUACAACUGAAACAAAUUAUGCCUAAGCUGGGGAGACCUGCACCAGCUACUGGAUUGGUUGAGGAAGAUGAGAUAAUAUGAUACCCUAUUUAAUAGGAAGAUUAUUUUACAUAUAAUUUUCCACAUAUAAUUUAGGGAAAAUAGUAAUUUAUUAAAGGACUCUCAGGGACUUGUAGUUGAGAAAAUGUUAACUAUUUGGGUUAAGGGACAUGUUCACUAACUCUGAGAUUUAUAGCAUAGUUGUGAGUGGCUGACAUUUACUAUCUACUAUUUAUUUUUAACGAGUAUAUAUGAUUAAUAAUUAGUAUUUACAAAGUACUUCCACAAAAAUCUUCUUCUGGUGCCCAUGACAAUCCUGUGAGGUAGAUAUUGUGGGUAUUUUAUAUCUACACUAUAUUUUAAAGCUAAAAGAACCAAAGCCGAAAUGAAUAGUUGGCUUGCUCAGGGCACCCACCCAGCCAGCACGUGGAGGUGUCUGAAAUUAACCUCAGGCUUCUUAUUUCCAAAACCAAUCUGUUGCCCAAGGUCCCAGCUCACAACUAGAGCAGAAGCCUCUUUGAACAGAUCACAGCUUAUGUAUGUAUUCACGUGUAAUCUCCACAGUAGCUACGCUAGGUCAUUGCAUGUACAUGAAGGUACGUGAAGGAAUGGAUGGAAUUAUCUUACAUUAGGGAAGAUGCUAACCUCCCAGCUGAAUUUUGGCGUUAGCAUGACACUUAGCAUCUUUCUUGGCUGUUAAAAUAAAGCAUAACAGGGUGGCAGGAGAGGAUGAUAUACCACCACUAAAUACAGUUGGAUCCCAAAGGUGUGUACUUGGCCUCUCUGUUUCUAUUGGUUCAUUGCCUUUUUCUUAUUCAAAAACAUAUUUAAAAUUUUGAAGUAUUUAAAACAAAAAACAAAUGCAAGUACCACAUACCCAUUCCUCAUGCCCUCGCCAAAUGGAUCUGGGGCAAGUUAGAAUGCUGCUCCAUUUCCUUCAAAUAGUUAAUUUUCAAACAAUAAGUAAUGUGUAAAAACUGUAUCUAAAGCCUCUCCCUCCAUCACAGAGUUAGCCACAGCUCUGAAGUCAGGACGGAUGUCUGCUAAGUUUGCCUAUAUUUACCUAUUUUUUCCUAUACUUAUAGGUACAUGCGUGUACCUGAAACACCGCCAAGCAUCCUUUUACAUUUUCAUGCUUUGAAUAAAUGUCAUCAUUUUUCCAAUGUGUGUGUUCACUCAAUAUUACAUCAGGAUAUGUGACAAUUACCAGGAGAAUAUUUACUGAGCUCUUUGAUAAGCCAGACUUGGUGCCAUUCACUCACACAAGUUCUCCUACAGACGUGUGAGGAGUAAUCACUCCUCACCAGGGGCUGGGACACGGACCCACCCGGGCUGCGCCGACACCUCCACACGCCCGUGUCUGCCCCGUGCUGCCCUUGACUGGGCCAUUGCCCCACUGACCAGGCCAAAGUUCAUCCGUCCAUUCCUCUAAUGAUGGACUCUUACGUUGCCGUUUCAAGCAACGCUGCAGCAAACAUCCAUCUCUCUGUCUUUCUGUCCACGCAAGCAAGACUCUCUCUGUAUAGAUACCCCAUGUCUCUCCCAGGUAGCUGUAUGUGUUUCAUCUGUCACAAACUACCACAGACUUGGGGGCUUAAAACACAGCAAAUUUAUCCUCCUACCAUUCUGGAGGGCGGAGGUCCACAAUCAUUCUCCCUGGGCUGAGUUCCAGGUGUUGGCAGGGCUGACUCCCGGAGGUUCUAGGGAAGAAGCUGUUUCUUUGCCUUUUGCAGCUUCUAGAAGCCAGUGGCUCUGGGCCUCCUCUUCCACUGUGAAAGCUGGGAACAUCUGUGAGUCCUUCUCAAGCUGUGCCUCUCCUAUUUUCUCCCUUAUGCUUCCCUCUUCCUCUCAUGAGGACCCCUGUGAUUAUCACACUGGGUCCACCCGGACAAUUGGGGAUAGUUUCCCCUCUCGGGUCAGUUGAUAGCCACCUAAUUCCCUUGGCAAACUUCAUCCCCCUGUGCCACAUCAACUGACAUAUUCACAAGUUCUGGGGAUUAGGACGCGGACAUCUCUGGGGGACCAUUGUUCUUCUGACCACACUCCCACCUGCCAUGCCCAAGACUUCCAACUUUCUCACUUCCAAAACAUGGUAUUGUCAGGCCUUUGUAAUGGUGCCAAAUCAAACAGAUAUAAAAUGGUGUUUAAUUAGGGUUCAUUAUGUGCAUUUCUCAGUUUAUAAUGAGGUUGAACAAUUUUCAUAUUUUUCUUGGCCUUCUAGUUUCCUUUGUGAAUUAACCUCUACAUACCCUUUUCCCCCAUUUUCUCAUUGUUUUCAUUGAUGUGUAGGAGUCCUUAAAUGUGGACACUAGUUUUUGGUGAGUGGUAAGUUACAGGUUUUGCGAGUAUCACUUCCCCAGCUGAGGCUUGUCUAUAAAUUUGUUGAUGGUGUUUUGGCUGAGUGCAGGGUUUUGGGUCAAUGUCAUCAUAUUUAGGGAUCUUUUCAUUUAUGAUUUGUGGGUUUUAAAAAGUUGUAUUUGUAGAGCUCCUAUGCAGUCUGCUAUUAUACAGCUAUUCCUUAUUGUUAUUAGCAGUUUAGCAUCUUUGCCUUUUGCCUGGAGGUGCCCGUGAUACUUGCCCUUGUGUAGGAGGAGAGCUCUGCUGCUGAUUCCGGGUGCUUGUCCUCCAUGACCAUCUCCUCACCGCUGUGGAUGGAUCCACUCUUUCCCUGAUUCUGGGUGCCUGUCCUCCAUGAGCAUCUUCUCACCACUGUGGAUGGAUCUGCUCUUUCCCUGAUUCUGGGUGCCUGUCCUCCAUGACCUCCAUGACCAUCUCCUCACCGCUGUGGAUGGAUCCGCUGUUUCCCUGAUUCCGGGUGCCUGUCCUCCAUGACCAUCUCCUCACCGCUGUGGAUGGAUCCGCUGUUUCCCUGAUUCUGGGUGCCUGUCCUCCAUGAGCAUCUUCUCACCACUGUGGAUGGAUCCACUCUUUCCCUGAUUCUGGGUGCCUGUCCUCCAUGAGCAUCUUCUCACCACUGUGGAUGGAUCUGCUCUUUCCCUGAUUCCGGGUGCCUGUCCUCCAUGACCAUCUCCUCACCGCUGUGGAUGGAUCUGCUCUUUCCGUGAUUCCGGGUGUCUGUCCUCCAUGACCUCCAUGACCAUCUCCUCACCGCUGUGGAUGGAUCCACUCUUUCCCUGAUUCUGGGUGCCUGUCCUCCAUGACCAUCUCCUCACCGCUGUGGAUGGAUCUGCUCUUUCCGUGAUUCCGGGUGUCUGUCCUCCAUGACCUCCAUGACCAUCUCCUCACCGCUGUGGAUGGAUCUGCUCUUUCCCACUGGCCUGUGCUGGCUCCAGCUACCUGGGCAUCACGUACGUGAGGUCUCCUCCUGGGGACACAGCUAUUCUCUUUCACAGUUUAUUUCUUCAUCCUCCAGUGACAAAUAAGUCAACUCUGCAGCUUUUGAAUAAGGCUUGAUAACGACUCUCAGCCAAAUAUCGCAGCUUUUCUUCUUCCAUGCUGUCUUGGCCAUUUGGGUUCUUUAUACCUGUGUGGAUCACAGGAUCAUCUUGUCAAGUGAAAAGCCUCUGUUGGGUUUCAAUGGAAUUGCAUUUAUAUUUAUAGGCUGACUUGGGAGAUUAUGACGAUCUUCAUAACAAGUCUUCAUGUCAGUUAACCUAGUUCUAUUCUAUGCACCUCAGUAAAUUUUUAAAUUUUUUUCUUAAAAUUAUGCCCAUAUUUUCUUACAUGUAUCCCUAUAUGCCUUUUCUGUAUAAUAAAUAAAAUUGGAAUUUUAAGUUAGGUGCA